GGUGAAGUCGAGUAAGAACUAUGAGAAGGCCGUGGAUCAGAUUGACGAAAACCUCCUCUAUUGGCCUCGCUUUAUCAGACAGAAGAAACUGGUUCCCCUCAGAAGAAAAGUGGAACCGAGAGAAAAGGAGUAUGGACACGUCUGCAACCUCCCCAUCCAUGCAUUUAGCAAGGCUCUGGAAAACAACCUGUUAGCAUCGAGGAGCCACUCACCUUGUCAGCCUAGAGCCAGCUGUAAUAAUCUCCUGAGCAAUUCCGGCCUAAACCCCCCCCCCCCCAUACGCCCUCUCGAACUCCUUCUGCAUUUUUACCCCCCAAAAGAGGACUUAGCUAAGGCUAACUUAUUGGUUGAAUUGUAUGUAAUGAUCUGAAAUAAACAUGUUCUGAGGCAGAUUUGGCUCUGCUCCUCAGGACCAUCACACACACCUCCAGUUACCUGGUAACAGCAGCUCCACGUGUUUCAGGUGGCGCACCACCAAGACCCCCAUCCUGUUAGGACACAGAUACAGACCGGCAACUAAAGAUUGGAGAGGCCUGAAGUACCCAAUUAAAUCAUCUAUAUUGGAGGCUGCGCAGUUGCCCUUUGAUAAGAGCACAUAGUCAGUACAACCUACAGUUAAAGUACAGCCUGGUUUACAAUCAACCAGGGACCUAGAUUUGCUUCAGACGAUGUGAAGCACUGCGUGCAGACAGAUACAAGCGUCCCACCUGUCUAUGAAGAGUGGCAGGAUGCCGGC
Long non-coding RNA from Osmerus eperlanus (European smelt), 736 nucleotides. RefSeq lists it as uncharacterized. The transcript has 4 exons. Lineage: Eukaryota; Metazoa; Chordata; Actinopteri; Osmeriformes; Osmeridae. The record is from RefSeq and is a predicted model, not a curated record.